RNAcentral lists this ribosomal RNA (425 nucleotides) under uncultured bacterium. RNAcentral's name for it is "partial 16S ribosomal RNA". It matches the Rfam family "Bacterial small subunit ribosomal RNA", at positions 354 to 796 of the family's 1533-position model. The record is from RNAcentral.
GUGGGGAAUCUUAGACAAUGGGGGAAACCCUGAUCUAGCCAUGCCGCGUGAGCGAUGAAGGCCUUAGGGUUGUAAAGCUCUUUCAUCUGGGAAGAUAAUGACUGUACCAGCAGAAGAAGCCCCGGCUAACUCCGUGCCAGCAGCCGCGGUAAUACGGAGGGGGCUAGCGUUGUUCGGAAUUACUGGGCGUAAAGCGCACGUAGGCGGACCGGAAAGUCAGAGGUGAAAUCCCAGGGCUCAACCUUGGAACUGCCUUUGAAACUCCUGGUCUUGAGGUCGAGAGAGGUGAGUGGAAGUCCGAGUGUAGAGGUGAAAGUCGUAGAUAUUCGGAGGAACACCAGUGGCGAAGGCGGCUCACUGGCUCGAUACUGACGCUGAGGUGCGAAAGCGUGGGGAGCAAACAGGAUUAGAUACCCCUGUAGUCC